GCAGUGGUGGUUCAGUGCCAGAAUUCUCACCUUCCAUGUGGGAGACUCAGGUUCGAUUCCUGGCCGAGGCA
This 71-nucleotide transfer RNA is filed under the name Loxodonta africana (African savanna elephant). It matches the Rfam family "tRNA". From Rfam's summary of the family: Transfer RNA (tRNA) molecules are approximately 80 nucleotides in length. The record is from Rfam by way of RNAcentral. Lineage: Eukaryota; Metazoa; Chordata; Mammalia; Proboscidea; Elephantidae.